This is a non-coding RNA of Corylus avellana, 1670 nucleotides long. The record is from RefSeq and is a predicted model, not a curated record. NCBI's taxonomy places the organism in Eukaryota, Viridiplantae, Streptophyta, Magnoliopsida, Fagales, Betulaceae.
CAACCGAAGUCCUCGCUGCUGUUGAAGGUUGAAAGUUGAAAGUUGAAACCGUUCGACUAAUACCCACUACCCAGUGGCCAGUGUGCCAAUCAAGUCCUCAGAACUCAGCAGCCCAAAGCUAUUACAUAAAACAAAUCUUUCAAGCGAGGCGUGCGAACGUUAAGUCGUUAAGUCUUUGUCUUCCUCAACCGAAGUCAACGCUGCUGUUGAAACCGUUCGACCUAUACCCAGUGGCCAGUGUGCCAAUCAAGUCCUCAGCCGGUGCAGCUAUGGAAGGAAGUUGAUAAUGAACUAUAGAAGGAAGUCGAUGAUGAGAGUCUGUGGAAAGCUCUAGAACCCUUAUCAGCAGCUUUAUCUGCGGUGUCAUCAUUAAAGCUGAUGAUACUAUGGAAGGAUUCCUUCGAUGAUGAGAGUCUGUGGAAAGCUCUAGAAUCCUUCACAGCAGCUUUAUCUGCUCCUGAUAUGACAUUUUGGUCCUCCGGCCGGUUACUGACAAGUAGCGGUGACUCAAGGUCCUCAUCAUGGCCAAACUUAUGUAUAGAAUCCAAGUCCUCCUCCUUUACCAUCCGGACAAUGUUUGCUUGUUGAAGUUUUGCAUCAUUCAUAGAGUUGUCGAUCUCACCAUCCAAAUUUACACUUAUGGAAACAUGAUCAGGUGAUGCUGAUAAAAUUUCCACGCUUGCCGUAAUUUGUUGAUGCUGCAAAAUAUGAAUUAGAAGAUAUAUUAAUAUGAUAACUCAACUCCAGGGCAGAUAUAAGCUUCUCCUAAAGAUAAGUCAAAAGUCUCAUAUUGGCUGCUCCUAAGACUUGGGGGAAUUCAAAUCAGCCUGUGAUCAAUGUGAAAUCAGGCAAGCAGACUACAAUAACUGAGCAUAUUGGCCUCUUUUUGGUCUAGAACAAAAUUUGAAAAAAAUGGGGACUAGCUACACCUUUGAUCCAUUGAGAGAUACAAUUGUAACAGAUCAAGAUUCCCUAGAAUUUUAGGGUAUUCUACCCAAGUGUAAAUGGUAAUUAGAUAAUAAAGUGAUAAAUCAUAAAUGUUAAUAUGGCAAUAUCUUCACUAUUUAAUUUGAAAACAAUGAUUGUGAGGUAUUCUAAAAUCCCCUGUAAACUACUCUUAUCAUCAUGAAAGCUCUUGUUUUAGCUAAAAUCCCAUAGUGAUCUUUUUUCGCAUGUUCGUUCAAUCGUUUGUGUUUAAAAGCUCAAUAAUAAUGCAUGCAGCUUGAUAUUAGUUGCCAAAGAGGCUUCAAAUAUAUUGUAACAGGUUUCACUUGAUUACCUCCUCUCCUGUGUCAUCAAAGCUGACGCAACUAUAGAAGGAAGUCGAUGAUGAGAGUCUGUGGAGAGCAAGAGAACCCUUCGCAGCAGCUUUAUCUGCUCCUGACAUGAGGCUUGUCUGAGUUUGGCUCGAUCUGUAUUUGUGUAAAGAAAUGGACGAGAGCAAACGGUGUGCUCUCUGGCCAUGGGAAAGACUCUGAAGACCAUAUUGAUAUAUAUAUUUGUAUGGCUUCAACUUUCACGCUUUAGAAUCUUCGUGGAAGCUACGUCCAUUUCUGCUGAAAAUUGCCGCAUUGGGCGUCUCUAAUUCUCUAAACAUUUCCAUCGGUCUCCCGCAUGUGUGAAGGUCGUCCAUGACUGAAAAUGAGAGAAUAUAUGGGAUUUUUACCGUC